RNAcentral lists this unclassified non-coding RNA (276 nucleotides) under Hevea brasiliensis (rubber tree). The record is from RNAcentral. Lineage: Eukaryota; Viridiplantae; Streptophyta; Magnoliopsida; Malpighiales; Euphorbiaceae.
AAGAGGAGGCAGAUUCUCGGUCGAUCUAUGUUGGUAAUGUGGAUUAUGCUUGCACCCCUGAGGAAGUCCAACAACAUUUCCAGUCUUGUGGGACUGUAAACAGAGUAACUAUUUUGACAGACAAGUUUGGCCAGCCAAAGGGAUUUGCGUACGUGGAAUUUAUUGAGGUUGAAGCUGUUCAAAAUGCUCUCUUAUUGAAUGAGUCAGAGUUGCAUGGCCGUCAGUUAAAGGUUUCAGCUAAAAGGACUAAUGUCCCAGGACUGAAGCAGUUUCGAG